RNAcentral lists this long non-coding RNA (668 nucleotides) under Pan troglodytes (chimpanzee). RNAcentral's name for it is "lincRNA". Lineage: Eukaryota; Metazoa; Chordata; Mammalia; Primates; Hominidae. The record is from RNAcentral.
GCUCGGCUCUUAAGACGUGUGGCUGCCGACGCUCCUGGCCGAAUAAAAAACCUCUUCUUUAAUCCGGUGUCCGAGGAGUUUUGUCUGCGACUCGUCCUGCUACAUUUCUUGGUUACAAAAACCUCUUCCUUCUUUAAUCCGGUGUCUGAGGAGUUUUGUCUGCGACUCGUCUUGCUACAUUUCUUGGUUCCCUGACCGAGAAGCGAGGUGAUUGACGGACAGACGGUCGAGGCAGCCCCUUAGGCUGCUUAGGCCUGCCCUGUGGAGCGUCCUUGCGAGGGACUCUGGCCAGCUUGAGCGACGCGCAUCCUGAGAGCGCUCCUGGGUAGGCAAUUGCCCUACUGGAACACCUCGUCAGAGCGGUGUGUGGCAGGCCCCCGCGGAGGAUCAACGUGGUGGCUGAACACCGGGAAGGGACUGGCACUAUAAGUCGAGACGUCUGAAACUUGAAACUCAUUAAUCUUCAAAGGCUUCAAGAGUGGCACAGAUGAAUCCAAUAUUCCUAUAUGACCUACUUUACUGAACUGGAAAAACUGCAUGCUGACAGCACAAAUGAUCCGUAAGAAGAGAUGCAGGUUGUGUAUGUCAGCCUCGCAGAGAACUCUUUCCAAAUACCACUGGGAGAACCAGAGCAACAUGACAACUCCACGGUAUAGCCCAAAAUACUG